AUGGCUUCCAUGGGGUUCAGCUAUGCGCAGAUACAUGUGCGGCAGGAGAAGAUCCGGCAGAGGAUCAACCAACAAGAAGCCGCCAAGAAGACGACCGUGAAGAGUAUCGGUGAAGGAGAUAAGAUCAAGAAGAAAAACUGCGACUCAUGGACCGCCGCCGGCAGGGUGCAUCCGUGCGCGUCUUCCACGGCCGCGGCGGCGGCUACGGCUAGGCCGGUGCCAGAGAGGUGA
RNAcentral lists this ribosomal RNA (231 nucleotides) under Triticum aestivum (bread wheat). Its description in RNAcentral is "partial small subunit ribosomal RNA". The record is from RNAcentral. Lineage: Eukaryota; Viridiplantae; Streptophyta; Magnoliopsida; Poales; Poaceae.